Molecule: long non-coding RNA, 1954 nt
Organism: Esox lucius (northern pike)
Lineage: Eukaryota; Metazoa; Chordata; Actinopteri; Esociformes; Esocidae
Exons: 3
Source: RefSeq, a predicted model, not a curated record
AUUGAAAAAGAUACUGAAGAAAUGCUUUAAGGUGUUUCCAUUGAUUGAUUGAUUGUUAAUAAAUCAAUGACACGUUUUUCCACCCACGUUUUUGGCUCACCGGCCGUGGCCGAGAGUACUGUUGUAUGCGUUUCCCCCUCUACAGUGCAUUCUCCCUGGAAUGUCUCGGGUGCGAUCGGAGGGGUUGUCUCUCAUACUGAUCGCCCCUUUUCGCCCGGGUGCCCUGUGGUUGGCAGUGGCGGCACAGAUGGCGGUGGGGACGCCGUGGCCGAUCCCUUCCCGCCACUGGGCGUUGUCACAGGCGAACGGCUUGAUCAGGGCAUUCCCUGUGCUGGGUCAGCCGGGGACUGACUGAGGAGGUGGUCGUGACCAUUCGAGCUAUACUAGCCGUUGGGGUAUCUUUGCCCGCUGAUGUGAGGACACGGGCAGUGUCCUGUCGUUCCUGCAGAGUCUAUUUGAGCAGCAAAGGUUCCCUGGCAUGCUCAAGGUGUACGCAGGUGCGAUCUCAGCGUGUCAUGAGGGGGUCAAUGGAGUGUCUGCUAGACCUCAUCCCUUCAUUCGGCGCCAACAUUAAUAAAGGAUGUUUUGUCGUCAUUGGGGGGAAAAGUUUUUUGCAGUGGUUGUGGCGAGAGACUCGAAGAAAGUCUUGAACCAACGUCUUUGGCUCAAUCCACCGAUGGACCAACUUCAGGUAAGUUAACGUAACCUUAUUUGUAGCUUAUGGUGAGUUUCCCAUGUCUGUCGGUCUGCAAGCUAAGGAACAAAAUAAUGUUCAAAAUGAUGUACUCUGUUGCACUGUAUUAGUUACUGCGCUGUAUAAGUUUAUAGCCAAUGUCGUGCCAAGAAAGUUACCCCUGUAUAUAGUUUGUCUGCGGCCGCGUGAGCGUGCAUGCAUCCAGUGAAGGUGGUGUGGCACUAACUAGUGUCUGCCAAAAAGUGAUUUCAGUCAAAUAAAAAUGUACUUUUGCAAAACAGCUCCAUGUUCCAGACUGCUGGAUGCUUCCUACAUGUGAAGAGUUCUGAGGACAGGCAAACUCUUGUGGAGGAAUACCUCAGAUGGUAUAUUCUACACAGAAACCAGAGUGUUAUUCAAAGAUUCAAAGGACUUGCAAGUCUACAGUUUAUGACCGCACUCCAGCAGCAUCCGACAUGGAACCUGACAGCUGCCGACAUGGAAAGACUGUUUAGUCCACACCUCAGUCCAGCAGGAAGUAACAGUCGGCAGAAAGAAGGCAAAAAUAUUUUUUAUUGUUGAUUGUGAAGAAAAAGCGACUGCUAUGUCCCUAGAGGAUGUCCUGCUGUUUGCUACAGGGCUCGCAUCACUUCCACCUGCUGGAAUAACACCACUACCAUGCAGAGUUCUUACCAAAUUCGCCAUUCCCUAUGUCAAAUACCUGUGCAAAUACGCUAUAGCUCCCUUUCCUUGAGACCUACAGUGUCUUUAAGACAAACAUGGAGUUUGGCUCACAGAAUUCUCCAGGCUUUGGGUGCAUUUAAUGCUGUGCCAAGUCUGGAUUUUGCCCAGUCUUAAACCUGCAGUUUAUAAAGCAUAAAAGAGUGCAUGCUCAGUUCAAAGCAUUUUAAUGUGUAUUAUUACUGUUACUUUGUUCAAUGAAACAUUAUUGUUCAAUGAAAAAUCACAGAACAAAUGCUAAGUACAGGUCACAUUACAAGUAACAGUAAAAUUGUACUCAGCUAAAAUGUAUGUAGUUUCACAUUUGAAACAGUGUAUAACAUGUUGUGUUGCAAACAAUACCUCUUGAAUAGAACCAUGUUUCUUUGGUUGUUCAGACCUACAAUUGACACACAGUUAACCCGAUGGUGAAUCAGAAAAUAAACAAAUAUAGUUUGGGAGUUACAUUUGAGUUUAAUGUAUGUCUCCACUCUGGUAUGACACUGCAUAUACUGAACUCCACUUGCCAAACAUGAUACUCAAUAAACCGCUAAGCCAAAU